UACGUAGGGUGCGAGCGUUGUCCGGAAUUAUUGGGCGUAAAGGGCUCGUAGGCGGUUUGUCGCGUCGGGAGUGAAAACUCAGGGCUUAACCCUGAGCCUGCUCCCGAUACGGGCAGACUAGAGGUAUGCAGGGGAGAACGGAAUUCCUGGUGUAGCGGUGAAAUGCGCAGAUAUCAGGAGGAACACCGAUGGCGAAGGCAGGUCUCUGGGCAUUAACUGACGCUGAGGAGCGAAAGCAUGGGGAGCGAACAGG
RNAcentral lists this ribosomal RNA (253 nucleotides) under uncultured bacterium. RNAcentral's name for it is "partial 16S ribosomal RNA". It matches the Rfam family "Bacterial small subunit ribosomal RNA", at positions 524 to 776 of the family's 1533-position model. The record is from RNAcentral.